UGGGGAAUAUUGCACAAUGGGCGCAAGCCUGAUGCAGCCAUGCCGCGUGUAUGAAGAAGGCCUUGGUUGUAAAGUACUUUCAGCGGGGAGGAAGGUGUUGUGGUUAAUAACCGCAGCAAUUGACGUUACCGCAGAANAAGCACCGGCUAACUCCGUGCCAC
RNAcentral lists this ribosomal RNA (161 nucleotides) under uncultured bacterium. RNAcentral's name for it is "partial 16S rRNA". It matches the Rfam family "Bacterial small subunit ribosomal RNA", at positions 355 to 511 of the family's 1533-position model. The record is from RNAcentral.